AUGGAUUCUGAAGAGCGUGUACCCGUGAAAGGUGCGGCCAUGUCCCAUCUCAUGGGCGAGCCAAUGCUACCGCCGAAACCGCUGGAGGCACUAUCACGGGAUCUCAGGAGACUGCACGACCAUGUGCUAUCGACUGAGGAAAGCCUACUAGCCUCAAAGGAUCCAGGAUAUCUGACAUACGCGGCUCGUGUGCCUGAGGGGAAGUGCUACGUCGACACACGGCCCGCGGAGGUGUUCUUCCUGUGGUUUGAUCAUAUCUUUGAGAUGUUUCUGACAAGGCGGCUCGAUUUUACAAUCAUCUGCCUUUUUGCGCUACAUAUGAGCUCCGUCAUUAAGAGUGAAGAAGUCUCGCAAAUCUGUGUGGCGGAUCCGAUCCGCCACAUGCACGAGUCUUUCUUGAGUCUCGGCGACUUUGAGCAUGAAACUGCUAGGGACUACCUCCAAAACUUCAUGGUACAGAAUAAGGACCAGGAAAUUGUCCUACUGCCUUAUCAUCCAAAGUAA
This 504-nucleotide ribosomal RNA is filed under the name Triticum aestivum (bread wheat). RNAcentral describes it as "partial small subunit ribosomal RNA". The record is from RNAcentral. Lineage: Eukaryota; Viridiplantae; Streptophyta; Magnoliopsida; Poales; Poaceae.